GGAUUGUGGCUCAGUGGUAGAGCGCUUGCCUAGCAUGUGCGAGGCCCUACGUUCAAUCCUCAGCACCA
This 68-nucleotide transfer RNA is filed under the name Marmota monax (woodchuck). RNAcentral describes it as "tRNA.Ala". Lineage: Eukaryota; Metazoa; Chordata; Mammalia; Rodentia; Sciuridae. The record is from RNAcentral.